Molecule: transfer RNA, 71 nt
Filed under: Stegodyphus mimosarum
Lineage: Eukaryota; Metazoa; Arthropoda; Arachnida; Araneae; Eresidae
Rfam family: tRNA
About the family: Transfer RNA (tRNA) molecules are approximately 80 nucleotides in length. Their secondary structure includes four short double-helical elements and three loops (D, anti-codon, and T loops).
Source: Rfam by way of RNAcentral
GCCUUUGUGGUGUAGUGGUAGCACAUUCGGCGUGUAUUCGAGAGUUCUAGGUUCGAGUCCCUGUUUGGGCG